UUUUUUAAACACUUUUAUGUUUAUCCGUAACUGGACAUGUCACACACCUGUCAAAUUACGAUCGUAAGAUUUUGACAAAUGACAGCAAGGCACAGAAAACAAAUUAAUUGAAAGGCAUUCACUACAUUGCUUUUUUCGUCGUCUGCGUGUUAUCACGUAUCAAAAAAACCGCCGUGGGGGGGCUACGAGUUCGCGCUCAAAUGAAAUCUACAUUUUGGUUUGAAACUUUGCUAAAUUUUGUCAAUCACCAUAUUUUUUGGGUUUUAUUAAACAAACUCACGUAAAUAAUCAUAAAAUACUACUUUAUUUAGUCAUAGUCGCUAUAUAGUAUAAUAAAAAUAAAUAUAUCA
Tribolium castaneum (red flour beetle) is the source of this 350-nucleotide long non-coding RNA. RefSeq lists it as uncharacterized. Lineage: Eukaryota; Metazoa; Arthropoda; Insecta; Coleoptera; Tenebrionidae. The record is from RefSeq and is a predicted model, not a curated record. The transcript is spliced from 2 exons.